GGUUAAGCGACUAAGCGUACACGGUGGAUGCCCUGGCAGUCAGAGGCGAUGAAGGGCGUGCUAAUCUGCGAUAAGCGCCGGUAAGGUGAUAUGAACCGUUAUAACCGGCGAUACCCGAAUGGGGAAACCCAGUGUGACUCGUCACACUAUCAUUAACUGAAUCCAUAGGUUAAUGAGGCGAACCGGGGGAACUGAAACAUCUAAGUACCCCGAGGAAAAGAAAUCAACCGAGAUUCCCCCAGUAGCGGCGAGCGAACGGGGAGGAGCCCAGAGCCUGAAUCAGCAUGUGUGUUAGUGGAAGCGUCUGGAAAGGCGCGCGAUACAGGGUGACAGCCCCCGUACACAAAAGCGC
RNAcentral lists this ribosomal RNA (352 nucleotides) under Salmonella enterica subsp. enterica serovar Kentucky str. 29439. RNAcentral's name for it is "bacterial LSU rRNA". It matches the Rfam family "Bacterial large subunit ribosomal RNA", at positions 1 to 388 of the family's 2925-position model. Lineage: Bacteria; Pseudomonadati; Pseudomonadota; Gammaproteobacteria; Enterobacterales; Enterobacteriaceae. The record is from RNAcentral.